RNAcentral lists this ribosomal RNA (467 nucleotides) under uncultured bacterium. Its description in RNAcentral is "bacterial SSU rRNA". It matches the Rfam family "Bacterial small subunit ribosomal RNA", at positions 329 to 795 of the family's 1533-position model. The record is from RNAcentral.
CGCCAGACUCCUACGGGAGGCAGCAGUGAGGAAUAUUGGUCAAUGGUCGGGAGACUGAACCAGCCAAGCCGCGUGAGGGAUGAAGGUACAGAGUAUCGUAAACCUCUUUUGUCAGGGAACAAAGGCGGGGACGUGUCCCCGGAUGAGUGUACCGGAAGAAAAAGCAUCGGCUAACUCCGUGCCAGCAGCCGCGGUAAUACGGAGGAUGCGAGCGUUAUCCGGAUUUAUUGGGUUUAAAGGGUGCGCCGGCGGCGUGUUAAGUCAGGGGAAGAGGCCGGGGGCCCAACCCCGGCGAGCCGUUGAAACUGGCGGGCUGGAGUUGGAGAGAAGUACGCGGAAUGCGCGGUGUAGCGGUGAAAUGCUUAGAUAUCGCGCAGAACCCCGAUUGCGAAGGCAGCGUACCGGCUCCACACUGACGCUGAGGCACGAAAGCGUGGGUAUCGAACAGGAUUAGAUACCCGCGUAAC